RNAcentral lists this ribosomal RNA (266 nucleotides) under uncultured bacterium. Its description in RNAcentral is "partial 16S ribosomal RNA". The record is from RNAcentral.
CUGCUGCCUCCCGUAGGAGUCUGGGCCGUGUCUCAGUCCCAGUGUGGCCGUCCACCCUCUCAGGCCGGCUGCUGAUCGUCGCUUUGGUGGGCCGUUACCCCGCCAACUGGCUAAUCAGACGCGGGCCCAUCCUGUACCACCGGAGUUUUCAAAGGAUUACCAUGCGGUAUUCCCUAUUAUGCGGUAUUAGCACCUAUUUCUAAGUGUUAUCCCCCGGUGCAGGGCAGGUUGCCCACGCGUUACUCACCCGUCCGCCACUAAGACAG